Molecule: long non-coding RNA, 962 nt
Filed under: Phasianus colchicus (ring-necked pheasant)
Lineage: Eukaryota; Metazoa; Chordata; Aves; Galliformes; Phasianidae
Description: lncRNA (ENSPCLG00000005571.1)
Source: RNAcentral
CUGAGCUCUUAUGUAGUCAGAAGAUCAAGGGACUUUUGAGAUCUGCUUUGUCAUUUGGGCUUCAGAAGGUUGCUAUUCAAUUAAUCCUGAAGUGCAUUGGACUCCACUGCUUUGAAUCACAAGGGAUUAAGAGCACCACUUCACAGUCCAGGGAUGAGACCACAACCUCUACACCACAAACCAUCCUGGGGACUGUAGCAAAUCGCCUCAGAGGGCAACGACCAGACAACAGUGGAGAUGGAAAGUGGAAGAUUGAGAGAUUUACUUCUAAAGAAGAAAGAGUAAAAUAAAUAUUCAGAAAGAUUUGGAGACUUUAGACAAUGAAAAAUUGCCUGGUGUACUCCAAAGAGGGACUAUUGGGAACGAUUGCAGGUUAGCAAAGUAAUACCCAUUGAAAAGUGUUUUUUUGUGUUGAGCUAGACUUAUGUUAAGCUUAAUAGUGCAACCGUUUACUCAAGUGAGCUAUACCACUGCUUGCAGAAGGACUAGUUCUUUAUAUGAGUUCUACUAUAAAACAGUCCUAUGAGGAACAAAAAGAAGGUUCUUGAAGGGAAGGCUUUGAGAAGUAGUCUGGGAAGGACUCAUUCUGGAAGAUGGCCUUGAUGUGAAAGGCGGGUGAGUUUAAUGAAUUCUUUGUCAUUAGAUCUGAGUGGAGGACUAAACACAAAGAGCAGGAAUUAUCUCACAACUGUAAAACUUCAGUUGUGUUCUGACAGGAAACUGUGGUAGGAAAUAACAAGGGGAACAGGGCAUUAGCAUGAGGCACGGCUCUUACAGCCUGUAAUACUAUUGAAAAUGAAUGGAAGAGCGGACACCUAAUUUUCCUAUUUAAAGUAUUUGUAUUGUAAUAUUACAUAUUAGUAAACUACUCCUUCAAAACAUCAUGGUACUUUGAACUUGUGAAAUACUCAGUGAUGGUUCUCAACAAUAAAAGUCAGGUUUAAUGGAAUUGAAACUUAUAU